GAUGAAGAACGUAGCGAAAUGCGAUAAGUAAUGUGAAUUGCAGAAUUCAGUGAAUCAUCGAAUCUUUGAACGCACAUUGCGCCCGCCAGUAUUCUGGCGGGCAUGCCUGUUCGAGCGUCAUUUCAACCAUCAAGCCCCCGGCUUGUGUUGGGGACCUGCGGCUGCCGCAGGCCCUGAAAAGCAGUGGCGGGCUCGCUGUCACACCGAGCGUAGUAGAUCUCAUCUCGCUCAGGGCGUGCUGCGGGUUCCGGCCGUCAAACCACCAUCAUAACCCAAGGUUGACCUCGGAUCAGGUAGGAAGACCCGCUGAACUUAAGCAUAUCAAUAAGCGGAGGA
RNAcentral lists this unclassified non-coding RNA (336 nucleotides) under soil metagenome. RNAcentral describes it as "partial contains 5.8S ribosomal RNA, internal transcribed spacer 2, and large subunit ribosomal RNA". The stretch from base 1 to 120 matches the Rfam family "5.8S ribosomal RNA", at positions 35 to 154 of the family's 154-position model. The record is from RNAcentral.